RNAcentral lists this ribosomal RNA (1284 nucleotides) under Triticum aestivum (bread wheat). Its description in RNAcentral is "partial small subunit ribosomal RNA". The record is from RNAcentral. Lineage: Eukaryota; Viridiplantae; Streptophyta; Magnoliopsida; Poales; Poaceae.
AUGAGGGGAUUUGUGAAAACUUAUGUGCAGCAAUGCUUGGUGUGUCAACAGGAGAAACCUGAGCGAGUGCCUUAUCCAGGUUUGUUGCAGCCUCUGCCAGUUCCAAAUACACCUUGGGAAAUGGUUACUAUGGACUUUGUCGAAGGAUUGCCGGCAUCUGGCCGUUACAAUUGUCUGUUGGUGGUCAUUGAUAAACUAUCGAAGUAUGGACACUUUGUUCCUUUGCAUCAUCCGUUUACUGCAGAGACGGUAGCGGAAGCAUUUCUGAAUACAGUUUAUUGGCUGCAUGGCAUGCCACUUUCCAUUGUGUCUGAUCGUGAUCGUGUCUUUACUAGCAAGUUUUGGAAGGAAUUAUUUCAAAGGUGUGGAGUUCUUCUCAGAAUGAGCACGGCUCGUCAUCCGCAAUCUGAUGGGCAGACGGAAAGAGUUAACUAGCAAGUCGAGUGUUUCCUCCGAUGUUUUGUAAGUGCUUCCUUCUCGGUGGCCCAAAUGGAUUCCAUUAUGUGAGUUCUGGUAUAACACUAAUUGGCACUCAGCUACUGGAAAAACUCCAUUGAAAUCAUAUAUGGCCAUGCCCCACACCAUUUUGGUUUGAAGGCAGACGAUGCAAUUCAGUCAGAGGACUUGCAUCAGUGGCUUGCGGAUAGGUAGGUCAUUCUGGAGUCAGUGCGUCAGCACCUGCCGCGAGCACAAUAGCGCAUGAAGAUACAAGCAGACAAGCAUCGAAGUGAUCGUGAAUUUGCAGUUGGGGAUCAGUUUUUUCUGAAACUGCAACCUUAUUUGCAAUCAUCAGUCGCUCCUAGGGCCAAUCAUAAACUGGCAUUCAAGUUUUAUGGGCCAUUUGAGGUACUGGAACGCAUUGGGGCAGUGGCUUAUCGGCUCAAAUUGCCAGAGGACAGUAAAGUUCAUCCGGUGUUUCAUGUAUCUCUCCUAAGAAAAGUGUUGCAACCCAAGCAUCAGAUUUUGCCUCAACUGCCUAGCCCAGAUGAUCAAUUUCAGAUUCCUGAGCAGAUUUUGGAUCAGAAAGUGGUUCGUCGUGGUUCAGGAUCUCUUGUUCAAGCCUUGAUCAAGUGGAGUGCUACGCCGAUCGAGAUGGCCACCUGGGAGGAUAAAGUGACGCUGCAGCAAAAGUUUCCUAGAGCACCGGCUUGGGGGCAAGCCGUUUCUAAGGAGGGUGGGAUUGUCAGCGAUCCUGAGACGGGCCAAGAACCAAGCGAGGAGAAGAGUAGGCCCAAGCGACAGCCUCGCCUCCCGGCUCGGCUAGCUGGGCCAGAAUGGGCCUAG